GGAGAUGGGCGCGCGCC
Molecule: microRNA, 17 nt
Filed under: Macrophomina phaseolina MS6
Lineage: Eukaryota; Fungi; Ascomycota; Dothideomycetes; Botryosphaeriales; Botryosphaeriaceae
Description: miR-4492
Source: RNAcentral